AGUGAACGCUGGCGGUAGGCCUAACACAUGCAAGUCGAACGGCAGCACAGUAAGAGCUUGCUCUUACGGGUGGCGAGUGGCGGACGGGUGAGGAAUACAUCGUAAUCUACUUUUUCGUGGGGGAUAACGUAGGGAAACUUACGCUAAUACCGCAUACGACCUACGGGUGAAAGCAGGGGAUCUUCGGACCUUGCGCGAUUGAAUGAGCCGAUGUCGGAUUAGCUAGUUGGCGGGGUAAAGGCCCACCAAGGCGACGAUCCGUAGCUUGUCUGAGAGGAUGAUCAGCCACACUGGAACUGAGACACGGUCCAGACUCCUACGGGAGGCAGCAGUGGGGAAUAUUGGACAAUGGGCGCAAGCCUGAUCCAGCCAUACCGCGUGGGUGAAGAAGGCCUUCGGGUUGUAAAGCCCUUUUGUUGGGAAAGAAAAGCAGCAGGUUAAUACCCCGCUGUUCUGACGGUACCCAAAGAAUAAGCACCGGCUAACUUCGUG
Molecule: ribosomal RNA, 492 nt
Filed under: uncultured bacterium
Lineage: Bacteria
Description: partial 16S ribosomal RNA
Rfam family: Bacterial small subunit ribosomal RNA
Source: RNAcentral